ACCUCAGCUAGGCAAGUCUUCCUCAAGAAGUCAAACACAGUCUUUUUGUCAUGGAGUCAAAGCUUAACAAACAAAGAUACAUGGUCUUCUAGAUUAACAUCCAGCAACUCUAUUUCAAGCUUUAGCACCAACCAGCAGUGGUCACACAGUGAACCUCAUGCCUGUUUCAGAGCCUGCCAACAGCACAGCUCCUGGAAGGAAGCCUAGCUGUUACCGAACAACAGGUUUUUAAGCUCUAGCUGAAUGAUACUGGAUGAGUUAGAAAGUCUUGGAAGUGGAUUUAUAAAGAAAAUGUUGACAGAACUUGGAUUCUCAUACUGCUGGAGAGUAUCAUAAGCCCCCUGGAGCCCUCACAUAUGCAUUCCUGUGAAAGGCUUUGAGAACUGUUCAGCUGAGUCUGAGCAAUGAGAGAUGACCUUUGAGUGAACUUCCUCAGGGGCUUGA
Molecule: long non-coding RNA, 444 nt
Organism: Trichechus manatus latirostris (Florida manatee)
Lineage: Eukaryota; Metazoa; Chordata; Mammalia; Sirenia; Trichechidae
Exons: 3
Source: RefSeq, a predicted model, not a curated record